UAGGGAAUAUUGGUCAAUGGAGGCAACUCUGAACCAGCCAUGCCGCGUGUAGGAAGAAGGCGUUCUGCGUUGUAAACUACUUUUGAUUGGGAACAAAUGACUCUUGCGAGAGUAGCUGAGUGUACCAAUAGAAUAAGCCACGGCUAACUACGUGCCAGCAGCCGCGGUAAUACGUAGGUGGCAAGCGUUGUCCGGAUUUAUUGGGUUUAAAGGGUGCGUAGGCGGCUUUUUAAGUCAGUGGUGAAAGCCGAUCGCUUAACGAUCGAACUGCCAUUGAUACUGAAAGGCUUGAGUAUAGAUGAGGUAGGCGGAAUUGACAGUGUAGCGGUGAAAUGCAUAGAUAUUGUCAAGAACACCAAUUGCGAAGGCAGCUUACUAAGUUAUAACUGACGCUGAGGCACGAAAGUGCGGGGAUCAAACA
This 421-nucleotide ribosomal RNA is filed under the name uncultured Cytophaga sp. RNAcentral's name for it is "bacterial SSU rRNA". It matches the Rfam family "Bacterial small subunit ribosomal RNA", at positions 355 to 774 of the family's 1533-position model. Lineage: Bacteria; Pseudomonadati; Bacteroidota; Cytophagia; Cytophagales; Cytophagaceae. The record is from RNAcentral.